RNAcentral lists this long non-coding RNA (464 nucleotides) under Sinocyclocheilus anshuiensis. Its description in RNAcentral is "lncRNA (ENSSANG00000028872.1)". Lineage: Eukaryota; Metazoa; Chordata; Actinopteri; Cypriniformes; Cyprinidae. The record is from RNAcentral.
CUGGUUUUGUGCUCCAGGGUCACAAAUGUAAAGAACAUCAUUCACUUCACAAUGAAUAUGACAAACCACACCCUUUGACCCCAAAAAUAAGGCUUAAACAAGAAACAAGUCUCUUUAAAUUUCACUUAACUUUUAUUAAAAAAAAAGAAAAAAGAAAAAAAAGAAAAACAAUUUUUGAUUGAACAAUACAAGACUACCAAUCCAGAAUGAGCAAAAAAUACUAAUUGGAAAAAAAGUGUAUGUUUACAAUGUGUGUGUGUGUGUGUGUGUGUGUGUGUGUGUGUAAGUGUAAGUGUGUUAUCUAACGUCGUCUCUUCUUCUUGCUGCUGGGGGGCGGAGCCGAUGAACGGCCUUUCCUCUUCCUGUUUAAGGUCUCCUCUGUAUCCUCAUACUGACUCUCGCGAUCAGCUGACGGAAGGAAAUAAAAGGCCGUUACAAACAGACCAAUCACUGCAUUGUGUAGU